RNAcentral lists this non-coding RNA (785 nucleotides) under Lacera procellosa. Lineage: Eukaryota; Metazoa; Arthropoda; Insecta; Lepidoptera; Erebidae. The record is from RNAcentral.
UAAAAAUUUUUGUAGUUUGGAAAAUUUAUUUAAAGUUUAUUUUACAUAUAAAUUUUAGUGUUAAUUUAAGUUUAUUUUAAUAAUAAAUUUAAUUUAUAUAAUUAGUAAUUAAUUUUAAAUAUUUAAGAAAUUAAUAUUUAGUAAUAUGAAAAUUAAUAACAAAUUUUGUGCCAGCAGUUGCGGUUAAACAAAGAUUAAAUUAAAUUUUAUUAGUUAAAUUAAUUAAUAAUAUAUAAUUAAAAUAAUAUAAAUUUUAAAUUAUUAAGUGAAAUUUUAAUUUAAUAAAAUAUUAUUUAAAAUUUAUGAUUUAAUAAAUUUUUAUAAAAACUAGGAUUAGAUACCCUAUUAUUAAAAUUUUAAAUUUGAAUACUAAAAUAGUAGUUAAUUAUUUAUUGAAACUUAAACAAUUUGGCGGUAUUUUAGUUCAUUUAGAGGAAUCUGUUUAAUAAUUGAUAGUCCACGAAUAAAUUUACUUAAUUUUUAAUUUUGUAUAUCGUUGUUAAAAAAAUAUUUUUUAAUAAAAAUAAUAUUUUAAAAUUAAAAAUAAAAUUAAAUCAGAUCAAGAUGCAGAUAAUAAUUAAGAAUAUAAUGGAUUACAAUAAAAUUAUUUAAAUGAAUAUUAAUUUGGAAAAAUUAAUUGAAAUUGGAUUUAAAUGUAAUUUUAUUUAAUUAAAUAAAAUGAUUAAAAAUUGAAAUAUGUACAUAUUGCCCGUCGCUUUCAUAUAUUAAUAAAUUGAAAUAAGUCGUAACAAAGUAGAGGUACUGGAAAGUGUUUCUAGAAAGAA